This 465-nucleotide ribosomal RNA is filed under the name uncultured bacterium. RNAcentral describes it as "partial 16S ribosomal RNA". It matches the Rfam family "Bacterial small subunit ribosomal RNA", at positions 338 to 795 of the family's 1533-position model. The record is from RNAcentral.
CCUACGGGGGGCAGCAGUGGGGAAUAUUGCGCAAUGGGCGAAAGCCUGACGCAGCGACGCCGCGUGAGGGAUGAAGGUCUUCGGAUCGUAAACCUCUGUCAGCAGGGAAGAACGGUCACUGUGCUAAUCAGCAGUGAAUUGACGGUACCUGCAAAGGAAGCACCGGCUAACUCCGUGCCAGCAGCCGCGGUAAUACGGAGGGUGCGAGCGGUAAUCGGAAUUACUGGGCGUAAAGCGCUCGUAGGCGGUAUGUCAAGUCAAGGGGGAAAUCCCCGCGCUCAACGUGGGAACUGCCUUUGAAACUGGCAAACUGGAGUGUGUGAGAGGAUAGUGGAAGUCCAGGUGUAGGAGUGAAAUCCGUAGAUAUCUGGAGGAACAUCAGUGGCGAAGGCGACUAUCUGGCACAUAACUGACGCUGAGGAGCGAAAGCGUGGGUAGCAAACAGGAUUAGAUACCCUAGUAGUC